This 253-nucleotide ribosomal RNA is filed under the name uncultured bacterium. RNAcentral describes it as "partial 16S ribosomal RNA". It matches the Rfam family "Bacterial small subunit ribosomal RNA", at positions 524 to 776 of the family's 1533-position model. The record is from RNAcentral.
UACGUAGGGGGCAAGCGUUGUCCGGAUUUAUUGGGCGUAAAGAGCGUGUAGGCGGCUUGGUAGGUCCGCUGUGAAAACUCGAGGCUCAACCUCGAGAUGUCGGCGGAAACCACUUGGCUAGAGUCCGGAAGAGGAGAGUGGAAUUCCCGGUGUAGCGGUGAAAUGCGUAGAGAUCGGGAGGAACAUCCGUGGCGAAGGCGGUUCUCUGGGCAUUACCUGACGCUGAGGAGCGAAAGUGUGGGGAGCGAACAGG